CUCACUCAGAGAGAGGAAGGCCAUGUAACGACAGAGACAGAGCUUAGUAUGAUGUAGAUACAAAUGAAGGGACCCUCGAGAUGGCCGGGAGCCACCAGGAGCCAGCGGAAGCUAGGAGACAACAUGGAGCAGAUUCUUCCUCAGAGCCUCCAGAAGGAGUUAACCCGCUGCCAAUUCGAAUUUGGACUUCUGACUUCCAGAAUGGUGAGGAAGCACAUUUCUGUGGUUUUAAAUUACCCAGUUUGUGGUAAUUUAUUAUAGGAAACUCAUUCGGCACCCAAGCCCCUCCUCUACCUCCUUCCCCAUCCCGACCCCAUCAGGAUGCUCCACUGUCCUCUGCACACACCAGCCUUUCGUCGGUGACCUGUGUCUCAACAGGAAGUUUUGCCUGUUCGUGAUCUAACACUGGAGACCACAGAGAAUGUACGCUCAGAGAAAAAGGCAGUCAGAUUCUCUCAGAUCAUAAUGACCCCUGCCUAAUGAGGCAUUUACUUCCUGGGAGGAGAAACUUAGCUGGUCAGGUAAAAAAUCCAGACUAGAAAAUAGAUAAGUGCAGAUGAUCUAACAUGACAUCCGUAUGUUCUCUCCCCAUAGGAUUUAAAUGUUUGUGGUCAGUAUUGAAUAUAAGCACAAUCAGAGGAAAAAUAAAAUGCAGUUUAUACAUAUGUGGGAGUUUGCUUCAUCCCCAUCACUGGGAUCCUCGCAUCCUGGGACCACACCAAGGUGGGGAAGCGCCGAUUGGUCAUCUCUGUGUCUUGGAGGAAGAGCUGCCAUUCCCCGAAACGGGAUGUU
Molecule: long non-coding RNA, 792 nt
Filed under: Mustela putorius furo (domestic ferret)
Lineage: Eukaryota; Metazoa; Chordata; Mammalia; Carnivora; Mustelidae
Description: lncRNA (ENSMPUG00000025662.1)
Source: RNAcentral